Molecule: ribosomal RNA, 278 nt
Filed under: uncultured Streptococcaceae bacterium
Lineage: Bacteria; Bacillati; Bacillota; Bacilli; Lactobacillales; Streptococcaceae
Description: partial 16S ribosomal RNA
Rfam family: Bacterial small subunit ribosomal RNA
Source: RNAcentral
GUGCCAGCCGCCGCGGUAAUACGUAGGUUCCGAGCGUUGUCCGGAUUUAUUGGGCGUAAAGCGAGCGCAGGCGGUUAGAUAAGUCUGAAGUUAAAGGCUGUGGCUUAACCAUAGUACGCUUUGGAAACUGUUUAACUUGAGUGCAAGAGGGGAGAGUGGAAUUCCAUGUGUAGCGGUGAAAUGCGUAGAUAUAUGGAGGAACACCGGUGGCGAAAGCGGCUCUCUGGCUUGUAACUGACGCUGAGGCUCGAAAGCGUGGGGAGCAAACAGGAUUAGAU